Molecule: unclassified non-coding RNA, 316 nt
Filed under: Hevea brasiliensis (rubber tree)
Lineage: Eukaryota; Viridiplantae; Streptophyta; Magnoliopsida; Malpighiales; Euphorbiaceae
Source: RNAcentral
GAUUUCAUUGAACCUAAACCGACGUUUUAGUAACCGUAACAGGCAGUUCCUGAACCAUGGACACCCCUAAGUACCAACGCAUGUCAUAUAACAGCAAAAGGAAAUGUAUUUCCUUAAGUCAUUUUGUGCACACAUUUAACGUUUUCAAUUCCGACAUUAACACGAUAGAAAAUGCCAACUUAAUUUGGCGGCUACAUUUAACUUGUAUACACAUUUGUUUUCAAGACUCAUUCAUACUUCCUUCAAGUCAGAAUUGCAGAUAAUAGCAGAAUGCGGACACAAUAACCAGUUCCUCCUCUAGGGACCAGAUAUGUAU